AUGGCAUCUCGCGACGCCGCCACCUUCCAGCUCUACCGGCCCAUGGCAAUGCCGACGGCCACGCCCAUGUCCCAGACGAUGGCAAUGCCCGGCUUCUCGUCGGCCGAGGCCGCGGACGACGCCGUGGUGGCGGUGCCGGUGCCGGCGCCGAGAAAGGCCGGCGCGGCCAAGGGCGCCAAGGACCGGCACAGCAAGGUGAACGGGCGCGGGCGGCGCGUGCGCAUGCCGAUCGUGUGCGCGGCGCGCGUGUUCCAGCUCACCCGCGAGCUGGGGCUCAAGUCGGACGGGCAGACCGUGGAGUGGCUGCUGCGGCAGGCCGAGCCGUCCAUCCUGGCCGCCACCGGCUCCGGCACCACCCCGGCCGUCUUCUCCUGCUCCUCCGCGCCCUCCACCGCCGCCGUCUCCCUCCUCGGGAAGCGGCCGCGCGAGGAGCACGAGCACGAGGCGGCGCCGUCCUUCUGGGAGGCGCUGCAGGCCCGGCCCGUGCCCUGGGGCCUCUCCCCGUCGCUGGAGGCGCAGGCGUACGCGUCGUCGGUGGCGCAGGGGCACCACCACCACCUGAACCUGCUCUCCGCGCUCUCCGGCGCCUCCAGGCGGCCAGAGGAGGAGUCCCGGUGA
This 618-nucleotide ribosomal RNA is filed under the name Triticum aestivum (bread wheat). RNAcentral's name for it is "partial small subunit ribosomal RNA". The record is from RNAcentral. Lineage: Eukaryota; Viridiplantae; Streptophyta; Magnoliopsida; Poales; Poaceae.